GGAAGUCAAUGUGCGGGCAGCUGCAGGAUAGUUAGGAGUAUUCCUUACUGACGAGCAGAAACACAUGAAACAACCUGCAGCGACACAGAAUUGGGAUCCACACCAGCCCCAUCACCACAAACAGCAGCCCUACGGACACACAGGCAGAGGCUACGGAGUGGGAUGCUUCCGACGACUGGAGCAGGAAGAGGAGUCCACCUGCCGCACACAUCAGUGAUCCCAUCACCAACACAAUGAUAGGCUUGUGAAG
Molecule: long non-coding RNA, 250 nt
Organism: Labrus mixtus (cuckoo wrasse)
Lineage: Eukaryota; Metazoa; Chordata; Actinopteri; Labriformes; Labridae
Exons: 2
Source: RefSeq, a predicted model, not a curated record